AUCAAGUCAUACCUGGGGCCCUGGCUCGUGCUUUGCUUUCAGUCUCUGAACUCAGUCUUUGGGGAAAAGACUUUUACUUCUCCAGCUCUGUCCCUUCUCUCAAGUACGUGUGGUUCACUGUCCCCAGACUAGAAGGAGUUUGUUGUCUCUGCCCAUCAUUGACUGAGGUGAAUGGGAUGUUCCUCCACCAGAUGUCCAAGCUCUCACCUCCCUGGACCUGCUCUGAAGUUAAUACGUACGGGAAUCCAUGCAGGUUGAAGCAGUUCUCAACUGGAAGAGGUCUGUACAUCUACAGAGUUGGGAUGUACUGGGAUCAGCAUCUGGGAAGUGGCACACUUAUCACUCCAGAUCUAGAUUCUCUGUGGAAGGAACUGAUAUUGUGCUCCAGAGUGAUUUUCUCUGCUUCUCUCUACCUUUAUCUUGGGCACUGCUAGAGUUACCUACUGGAUACAUCCAGAUAUUUUGUCCAAGUUUAAAAGAGGUGGGUGUAACUUGCUUUUCCACGUGCUUAUGAAAAUUGAUAUGAAUGCUUUUUAAAAAAAAAUCCACAGGGAUUUCCUCUUUUCUCCAAAA
Molecule: long non-coding RNA, 573 nt
Filed under: Capra hircus (goat)
Lineage: Eukaryota; Metazoa; Chordata; Mammalia; Artiodactyla; Bovidae
Description: lncRNA (ENSCHIG00000001882.1)
Source: RNAcentral